UGAUCUCUCUGGCCUGAUGCACUGUCCCAAGUGGCCAAGGAAAAGUUGGGUUUCUCUGAAUGUGUAGUGACACUUCCUACAAAGAAACCUUGAAGGUGGCCAGGAUCAUCUCAGCAGACUGAAAACUGAUUGAAGCCUCAGAGGAGAACUAAGUAUCAGCCAAAAAUUACUUGAAAAUGAGCCUGCGUUUUGCUCAAAUAAGUUAAUGAACCUUUGUGAAUUUUCAAGACUGGGCUGAAUUUCAAGAUUGGAACAAAGCUUAAAGCCAGGUGAGUUUUAUUGUAAAUAUUUCCCGCAUGGAUCCAGCAACAAUCUGAUCCUGUUUAACUAGUUUAACUAAAUGCUUGUGUAACAUCAAGGCCUGGAUGACAGACUCUUUUAUUUGGAAAAAAGA
This 394-nucleotide long non-coding RNA is filed under the name Anser brachyrhynchus (Pink-footed goose). Its description in RNAcentral is "lncRNA (ENSABRG00000000016.1)". The record is from RNAcentral. Lineage: Eukaryota; Metazoa; Chordata; Aves; Anseriformes; Anatidae.